RNAcentral lists this ribosomal RNA (556 nucleotides) under Trichosporon asahii. RNAcentral describes it as "eukaryotic LSU rRNA". The stretch from base 197 to 351 matches the Rfam family "5.8S ribosomal RNA". The record is from RNAcentral. Lineage: Eukaryota; Fungi; Basidiomycota; Tremellomycetes; Trichosporonales; Trichosporonaceae.
AGCAAUCCACAAAAGAUUUCCUCCCGCGCGCGUAAUAACAGGGGGUAAGGUUUCAAUCGGGUUAUUCCCCCCCCGGGGGUCCGGGCCCCUUUUCCCCACUUACCCCCUCUGGACGGGUUCUUCUGACUUGCGCCUAAUCCGAGUAUUUUUCCCAAAACAAUGUGUAACGCCCGGUCGUUAAUAAAAACCAAAAUAAACCUUUCAAACACGGGAUCUCUGGGCUCUCGCAUCGAUGAAGAACGCAGCGAAUUGCGAUAAGUAAUGUGAAUUGCAGAAUUCAGUGAAUCAUCGAAUCUUUGAACGCAGCUUGCGCUCUCUGGUAUUCCGGAGAGCAUGCCUUCCUCCUUUGUAGGUAAAAACUCAACCACUAGGGUUUCCUAAUGGAUUGGAUUUGGGCGUCUGCGAUUUCUGAUCGCUCGCCUUAAAAGAGUUUUCAAGUUUGACAUUAAUGUCUGGUGUAAUAAGUUUCUCCGUUUCCAUUGUGUUGAAGCGUGCUUCUAAUCGUAACGCAAGGACAAUUACUUGACUCUGGCCUGAAAUCAGGUAAGGAACCGGG